UCCCGUGUGGCUCAGUUGGUAGAGCGUGGUGUUUGCAACGCCAGGGGUUGUGGGGUUCGAUUCCCACGGGGGGAC
This 75-nucleotide transfer RNA is filed under the name Salmo salar (Atlantic salmon). It matches the Rfam family "tRNA". From Rfam's summary of the family: Transfer RNA (tRNA) molecules are approximately 80 nucleotides in length. Their secondary structure includes four short double-helical elements and three loops (D, anti-codon, and T loops). Further hydrogen bonds mediate the characteristic L-shaped molecular structure. tRNAs have two regions of fundamental functional importance: the anti-codon, which is responsible for specific mRNA codon recognition, and the 3' end, to which the tRNAs corresponding amino acid is attached (by aminoacyl-tRNA synthetases). tRNAs cope with the degeneracy of the genetic code in two manners: having more than one tRNA (with a specific anti-codon) for a particular amino acid; and 'wobble' base-pairing, i.e. permitting non-standard base-pairing at the 3rd anti-codon position. The record is from Rfam by way of RNAcentral. Lineage: Eukaryota; Metazoa; Chordata; Actinopteri; Salmoniformes; Salmonidae.